CAAAGGCUUGGUCCUGACUUUAUUGUCAGCUUCUGCUAUAUUUACACAUGCAAGUAUCCGCACCCCCGUGAGAAUGCCCACAAUUCCCUUCUGGGAAUAAGGAGCUGGUAUCAGGCACACCCCUGUAGCCCACGACACCUUGCUUAGCCACACCCCCAAGGGAAUUCAGCAGUGAUAAACAUUAAGCCAUAAGUGAAAACUUGACUUAAUUAAAGCUAAAUAGAGCCGGUCAAAACUCGUGCCAGCCACCGCGGUUAGACGAGAAGCUCAAGUUGACAGACAGCGGCACAAAGUGUGGUUAGGGAACUUUAACAUGACUAAAGUCAAACGCUUUCAAAGCAGUCAUACGCAUCUGAAAGUAUGAGGAUCAUUAACGAAAGUAACUUUACUCCACCUGAAUCCACGUAAGCUAAGACACAAACUGGGAUUAGAUACCCCACUAUGCUUAGCCCUAAACAUAAAUGCUAUAUUAAAAUAAAAUUCGCCAGGGAACUACAGACAUUAGUUUAAAACCCAAAGGACUUGGCGGUGCUUAACAUCCCCCUAGAGGAGCCUGUUCUAUAACCGAUACUCCCCGCUAAACCUCACCCCCCCUUGCCAAUUCCGCCUGUAUACCGCCGUCGCCAGCUUACCCUACAAAGGACCCAAAGUAAGCACAAUCGGUAAUACCUAAAACGUCAGGUCAAGGUGCAGCGUACGGGGGGGAAAGAAAUGGGCUACAUUUACUAGUUUGUAGUAAACACGAAUGAUAACCUGAAACAGUUGUCUGAAGGAGGAUUUAGAAGUAAGCCAGAAACAGAGUGUCUCGCUGAAACUUGGCCCUUAAGCGCGCACACACCGCCCGUCACCCUCUCCUAUAACUCCAACAAACCUAAUUAAUAAUAAAUCAACCGCGUAUAGAGGGGAGGAAAGUCGUAACAUGGUAAGUGUACUGGAAAGUGUACUUGGAUAAAA
This 954-nucleotide non-coding RNA is filed under the name Brachirus orientalis (oriental sole). RNAcentral describes it as "12S ribosomal RNA". It matches the Rfam family "Bacterial small subunit ribosomal RNA". Lineage: Eukaryota; Metazoa; Chordata; Actinopteri; Pleuronectiformes; Soleidae. The record is from RNAcentral.